AACGAACGCUGGCGGCGUGCCUAACACAUGCAAGUCGUGCGAGAAAGUUCCUUCGGGAGCGAGUAAAGCGGCGCACGGGUGAGUAACACGUAGGUAACCUGCCCCCCAGUCUGGAACAACUAGAGGAAACUCUAGCUAAUGCCGGAUGAGACCACGAUCCCCUUCGGGGGUUGCGGCCAAAGAUGGCCUCUACUUGUAAGCUAUCGCUGAGGGAUGGGCCUGCGGGCCAUUAGCUUGUUGGUGAGGUAACGGCUCACCAAGGCUGUGAUGGCUAGCUGGUCUGAGAGGAUGACCAGCCACACUGGGACUGAGACACGGCCCAGACUCCUACGGAGGCAGCAGUGGGGAAUAUUGCGCAAUGGGCGAAAGCCUGACGCAGCGACGCCGCGUGGGUGAUGAAGGCC
Molecule: ribosomal RNA, 404 nt
Filed under: uncultured bacterium
Lineage: Bacteria
Description: bacterial SSU rRNA
Rfam family: Bacterial small subunit ribosomal RNA
Source: RNAcentral